RNAcentral lists this ribosomal RNA (254 nucleotides) under uncultured microorganism. RNAcentral describes it as "partial 16S ribosomal RNA". It matches the Rfam family "Archaeal small subunit ribosomal RNA", at positions 474 to 727 of the family's 1478-position model. The record is from RNAcentral.
CACCGGCGGCUCGAGUGGUGGCCCCUUUUAUUGGGUCUAAAGCGUCCGUAGCCGGCUUGGCAAGUCCCCUGGGAAAUCUGGCGGCUUAACCGUCAGGCGUCCAGAGGAUACUGCCAGGCUUGGGACCGGGAGAGGUGAGAGGUACCUCAGGGGUAGGGGUGAAAUCUUGUGAUCCCUGAGGGACCACCAGUGGCGAAGGCGUCUCACUAGAACGGGUCCGACGGUCAGGGACGAAAGCUGGGGGCACGAUCCGG